Molecule: unclassified non-coding RNA, 445 nt
Filed under: Ascaris lumbricoides (common roundworm)
Lineage: Eukaryota; Metazoa; Nematoda; Chromadorea; Rhabditida; Ascarididae
Description: partial ITS1
Source: RNAcentral
GAGCAGAAAAAAAAAAGUCUCCGAACGUGCACAUAAGUACUAUUUGCGCGUAUACGUGAGCCACAUAGUAAAUUGCACACAAAUGUGGUGAUGUAAUAGCAGUCGGCGGUUUCUUUUUUUUUGGCGGACAAUUGCAUGCGAUUUGCUAUGUGUUGAGGGAGAAUAGGUGGCAUGUUGGGCUUGUUAGAAAGGCAUGCCGCUAGCGCUUAUUUUCCCGCUAUUUCGUAACAACGGUGUCCAUUUUGGCGUCUACGCUUCACCGAGCUAUCGCCUGGACCGUCGGUAGCGAUGAAAGGUGGAGAGAAAGCUCCUCGUUUCGAGUCGAGUAGACUCAAUGAGCCUCAGCUUGGAGGCCGCCAAAACUCAAAAAACACAAUCACUUUUGAAAAUCUAUUCUAAUGAAAGAUGCUAAAUUUUGUUUAGUAUCUUCGAAUUGUAAGAUGAA